GUGGGGAAUAUUGGACAAUGGGCGAAAGCCUGAUCCAGCCAUGCCGCGUGUGUGAAGAAGGCCUUUUGGUUGUAAAGCACUUUAAGCGAGGAGGAGGCUACCGAGAUUAAUACUCUUGGAUAGUGGACGUUACUCGCAGAAUAAGCACCGGCUAACUCUGUGCCAGCAGCCGCGGUAAUACAGAGGGUGCGAGCGUUAAUCGGAUUUACUGGGCGUAAAGCGUGCGUAGGCGGCUUUUUAAGUCGGAUGUGAAAUACCUGAGCUUAAAUUAGGAAUUGCAUUCGAUACUGGGAAGCUAGAGUAUGGGAGAGGAUGGUAGAAUUCCAGGUGUAGCGGUGAAAUGCGUAGAGAUCUGGAGGAAUACCGAUGGCGAAGGCAGCCAUCUGGCCUAAUACUGACGCUGAGGUACGAAAGCAUGGGGAGCAAACAGGAUUAGAAACCCCGGUAGUCC
Molecule: ribosomal RNA, 451 nt
Filed under: uncultured bacterium
Lineage: Bacteria
Description: partial 16S ribosomal RNA
Rfam family: Bacterial small subunit ribosomal RNA
Source: RNAcentral